GAGUUUGAUCCUGGCUCAGGAUGAACGCUGGCGGCGUGCUUAACACAUGCAAGUCGAACGGGGUACCCCCAAAGGAGUUUUCGGACAACUGCGGGGAAUACCUAGUGGCGGACGGGUGAGUAACGCGUGAGUAACCUGCCUUGGAGUGGGGAAUAACAGCUGGAAACAGCUGCUAAUACCGCAUAAUGCAGUUGGGUCGCAUGGCUCUGACUGCCAAAGAUUUAUCGCUCUGAGAUGGACUCGCGUCUGAUUAGCUAGUUGGUGGGGCAACGGCCCACCAAGGCGACGAUCAGUAGCCGGACUGAGAGGUUGGCCGGCCACAUUGGGACUGAGACACGGCCCAGACUCCUACGGGAGGCAGCAGUGGGGAAUAUUGGGCAAUGGGCGCAAGCCUGACCCAGCAACGCCGCGUGAAGGAAGAAGGCUUUCGGGUUGUAAACUUCUUUUCUCAGGGACGAAGCAAGUGACGGUACCCGAGGAAUAAGCCACGGCUAACUACGUGCCAGCAGCCGCGGUAAUACGUAGGUGGCAAGCGUUAUCCGGAUUUACUGGGUGUAAAGGGCGUGUAGGCGGGAAAGCAAGUCAGAUGUGAAAACCAUGGGCUCAACCUGUGGCCUGCAUUUGAAACUGUUUUUCUUGAGUACUGGAGAGGCAGACGGAAU
RNAcentral lists this ribosomal RNA (662 nucleotides) under uncultured bacterium. RNAcentral's name for it is "bacterial SSU rRNA". It matches the Rfam family "Bacterial small subunit ribosomal RNA", at positions 9 to 667 of the family's 1533-position model. The record is from RNAcentral.